AUUGAACGCUGGCGGCAUGCCUUACACAUGCAAGUCGAACGGUAACAGGGAGCUUGCUCCGCUGACGAGUGGCGAACGGGUGAGUAAUGUAUCGGAACGUACCAUAGAGUGGGGGAUAACUAUCCGAAAGGAUAGCUAAUACCGCAUAUUCUCUCCGGAGGAAAGCAGGGGACCGCAAGGCCUUGCGCUCUUUGAGCGGCCGAUAUCAGAUUAGCUAGUUGGUGAGGUAAAGGCUCACCAAGGCGACGAUCUGUAGCGGGUCUGAGAGGAUGAUCCGCUACACUGGAACUGAGACACGGUCCAGACUCCUACGGGAGGCAGCAGUGGGGAAUUUUGGACAAUGGGGGCAACCCUGAUCCAGCCAUGCCGCGUGAGUGAAGAAGGCCUCGGUUGUAAGACUCUUCGUCCGGGACGGAAUACGUAUGGUUAAGUACCUCGUGCGGAGUGACGGUACCGGCGAUAAGAAGACACCGGCGUAACUAACGUGCCAGCAGCCG
RNAcentral lists this ribosomal RNA (497 nucleotides) under uncultured bacterium. RNAcentral describes it as "bacterial SSU rRNA". It matches the Rfam family "Bacterial small subunit ribosomal RNA", at positions 30 to 517 of the family's 1533-position model. The record is from RNAcentral.